GAUGAACGCUAGCUACAGGCUUAACACAUGCAAGUCGAGGGGAAACGACAUCGAAAGCUUGCUUUUGAUGGGCGUCGACCGGCGCACGGGUGAGUAACGCGUAUCCAACCUGCCCACCACUUGGUGAUAACCUUGCGAAAGUAAGACUAAUACCCAAUGACGUCUCUAGAAGACAUCUGAAAGAGAUUAAAGAUUUAUCGGUGAUGGAUGGGGAUGCGUCUGAUUAGCUUGUUGGCGGGGUAACGGCCCACCAAGGCGACGAUCAGUAGGGGUUCUGAGAGGAAGGUCCCCCACAUUGGAACUGAGACACGGUCCAAACGCCUACGGGAGGAAGCAGUGAGGAAUAUUGGUCAAUGGACGAGAGUCUGAACCAGCCAAGUAGCGUGCAGGAUGACGGCCCUAUGGGUUGUAAACUGCUUUUAGAAGGGAAUAAAGUGAGUCUCGUGAGACUUUUUGCAUGUACCUUAUGAAUAAGGACCGGCUAAUUCCGUG
RNAcentral lists this ribosomal RNA (492 nucleotides) under uncultured bacterium. RNAcentral describes it as "partial 16S ribosomal RNA". It matches the Rfam family "Bacterial small subunit ribosomal RNA", at positions 28 to 507 of the family's 1533-position model. The record is from RNAcentral.